UGGCAAUGAUGUAUGAAUUUCUUCAACUGAACUUGUUGCUUUAUGAGCUUUUUAACCAUGAACCAA
Oncorhynchus kisutch (coho salmon) is the source of this 66-nucleotide small nucleolar RNA. The record is from Ensembl. NCBI's taxonomy places the organism in Eukaryota, Metazoa, Chordata, Actinopteri, Salmoniformes, Salmonidae.